RNAcentral lists this ribosomal RNA (873 nucleotides) under human gut metagenome. Its description in RNAcentral is "bacterial SSU rRNA". It matches the Rfam family "Bacterial small subunit ribosomal RNA", at positions 650 to 1520 of the family's 1533-position model. The record is from RNAcentral.
UGGAGAGGUAAGCGGAAUUUCCGGUGUAGCGGUAAAAUGCGCAGAUAUCGGAAGGAACACCGAAGGCGAAGGCAGCUUACUGGACAGAAACUGACGCUCAUGCUCGAAAGCGUGGGGAGCGAAAGGGAUUAGAUACCCCUGUAGUCCACGCCCUAAACGUUGUACACUAGGUAUUGGAGGAAUCAUCCCCUUCAGUGCCCCAGCUAACGCGAUAAGUGUACCGCCUGAGGACUACGACCGCAAGGUUAAAACUCAAAGAAAUUGACGGGGGCCCGCACAAGCGGUGGAGCAUGUGGCUUAAUUCGAUGCAACGCGAAGAACCUUACCUGGGUUUGACAUGUAUUUGAAUAUAUGUGAAAGCAUAUAGUCCUUCGGGACAGGUACACAGAUGCUGCAUGGCUGUCGUCAGCUCGUGUCGUGAGAUGUUCGGUUAAGUCCGGCAACGAGCGCAACCCUCGCCCUAUGUUACUAACAGGUAAAGCUGAGGACUCUUAGGGGACAAACCUAACAUUAGGUGGGAAGGUGGGGAUGACGUCAAGUCAGUAUGGCUCUUACAUCCAGGGCUGCACACGUGCUACAAUGGCCGACACAGAGGGAUGCUACGUCGCGAGGCGAUGCGAAUCUCGAAAAUCGGUCUCAGUUCGGAUUGGAUGUCUGCAACUCGACUCCAUGAAGCCGGAAUCGCUAGUAAAGGCGUAUCAGCUACGACGCCUUGAAUACGUUCCCGGGCCUUGUACACACCGCCCGUCAAGUCAUGAAAGCCGGUUUUGCCCGAAGUUCGUGAGCUAACCCGCGAGGGGGGCAGCGGCCUAAGGCAAUGCUGGUGAUUGGGACUAAGUCGUAACAAGGUAGCCGUAGGGGAACCUGCGGCUG